This 301-nucleotide ribosomal RNA is filed under the name uncultured bacterium. RNAcentral's name for it is "partial 16S ribosomal RNA". It matches the Rfam family "Bacterial small subunit ribosomal RNA", at positions 509 to 807 of the family's 1533-position model. The record is from RNAcentral.
CAGUAGCCGCGGUAAAACGGAGGGUGCGAGCGUUAAUCGGAAUAACUGGGCGUAAAGGGCACGCAGGCGGUGACUUAAGUGAGGUGUGAAAGCCCCGGGCUUAACCUGGGAAUUGCAUUUCAUACUGGGUCGCUAGAGUACUUUAGGGAGGGGUAGAAUUCCACGUGUAGCGGUGAAAUGCGUAGAGACGUGGAGGAAUACCGAAGGCGAAGGCAGCCCCUUGGGAAUGUACUGACGCUCAUGUGCGAAAGCGUGGGGAGCAAACAGGAUUAGAUACCCCCGUAGUCCCUGUCUCUUAUAC